Molecule: long non-coding RNA, 766 nt
Organism: Cavia porcellus (domestic guinea pig)
Lineage: Eukaryota; Metazoa; Chordata; Mammalia; Rodentia; Caviidae
Exons: 2
Source: RefSeq, a predicted model, not a curated record
UAGAUCGUCAAGGAGGCAAGGGCAUUUUUUAUUGCUCAGAACGAUAACUGACUGUACUGUGCAUAGUUUUAUGAGUCGAUCCUCGGUAACAUCUAUCAGGACAGAGCUGUUAACUACCUCCCAUAAAAUCCUGCCGGAGCCACAGAGGAUGCAGAGCGGAGAAAUCAUGCGUGGCUGCAUGCCGUCCGCCCAGCUACGAGCCCCUAAUCAGCAGCUCUGUGGGUGAGGCGGCUCACGCUGUUAACUCCACUUAGAAACUGACUUUGAAGCAAGGUCAAGAGAAAUGCACUGCGAGUACAAUCCAGAAAGUGGUAAAGACCAGAGCUCCACAAAGCGAACCGCUGCAAACUCCUCUGACAAUGGGAACAGCCACAUUCUUAUCAGGAAAGAAGCUCAACAAGCUCCUUCAGGAGGACCAACAACAUCAUAGAGAACCAACAGCACUGUAUCUCUACCUCUCCAUUUCUCCUUUUUAUCUCCACAAUAAUCCUCGGCCAUCCACACUCAGCACCACGCUGAUUCAGUUCAGCUGAUAUUACAAGUUGACCACCAGUUGUCAAUCCACCAUAGUACUCUCCCAAAAAUCCUUCAGGUACCCAGGAAUUUUAGGUCCUGUCCAAAUAGUCCCAAGUCUGUUUCCAGGACCUACAUCAAAUGAUGUCAAGAAAUACUUCUGCUGUGGCCAUGGAUCGGCUCUUUGUAGGAGGCUCUUUGCUCUGAAUGUUUGUGUUCUGCCAAAUUCAUAUUAAAAAUUCCUGACCCACUA